AGAGUUUGAUCAUGGCUCAGAACGAACGCUGGCGGCAGGCUUAACACAUGCAAGUCGAACGCCCCGCAAGGGGGAGUGGCAGACGGGUGAGUAACACGUGGGAACGUGCCCUUCGCUUCGGGAUAGCCUCGGGAAACUGGGAGUAAUACCGAAUACGCCGUAUUGGGAAAGAUAUAUCGGCGAAGGAUCGGCCCGCGUUGGAUUAGCUAGUUGGCGGUGUAAUGGACCACCAAGGCUACGAUCCAUAGCUGGUCUGAGAGGACGACCAGCCACACUGGGACUGAGACACGGCCCAGACUCCUACGGGAGGCAGCAGUGGGGAAUCUUGGACAAUGGGCGCAAGCCUGGUCCAGCCAUGCCGCGUGAGUGAAGAAGGCCUUAGGGUUGUAAAACUCUUUCGCCGGUGAAGAUAAUGACGGUAACCGGAGAAGAAGCCCCGGCUAACUUCGUG
This 451-nucleotide ribosomal RNA is filed under the name uncultured bacterium. Its description in RNAcentral is "bacterial SSU rRNA". It matches the Rfam family "Bacterial small subunit ribosomal RNA", at positions 8 to 507 of the family's 1533-position model. The record is from RNAcentral.